GGUUAAGCGACUAAGCGUACACGGUGGAUGCCCUGGCAGUCAGAGGCGAUGAAGGACGUGCUAAUCUGCGAUAAGCGUCGGUAAGGUGAUAUGAACCGUUAUAACCGGCGAUUUCCGAAUGGGGAAACCCAGUGUGUUUCGACACACUAUCAUUAACUGAAUCCAUAGGUUAAUGAGGCGAACCGGGGGAACUGAAACAUCUAAGUACCCCGAGGAAAAGAAAUCAACCGAGAUUCCCCCAGUAGCGGCGAGCGAACGGGGAGGAGCCCAGAGCCUGAAUCAGUGUGUGUGUUAGUGGAAGCGUCUGGAAAGGCGCGCGAUACAGGGUGACAGCCCCGUACACAAAAAUGCACAUAUUGUGAGCUCGAUGAGUAGGGCGGGACACGUGGUAUCCUGUCUGAAUAUGGGGGGACCAUCCUCCAAGGCUAAAUACUCCUGACUGACCGAUAGUGAACCAGUACCGUGAGGGAAAGGCGAAAAGAACCCCGGCGAGGGGAGUGAAAAAGAACCUGAAACCGUGUACGUACAAGCAGUGGGAGCACGCUUAGGCGUGUGACUGCGUACCUUUUGUAUAAUGGGUCAGCGACUUAUAUUCUGUAGCAAGGUUAACCGAAUAGGGGAGCCGAAGGGAAACCGAGUCUUAACUGGGCGUUAAGUUGCAGGGUAUAGACCCGAAACCCGGUGAUCUAGCCAUGGGCAGGUUGAAGGUUGGGUAACACUAACUGGAGGACCGAACCGACUAAUGUUGAAAAAUUAGCGGAUGACUUGUGGCUGGGGGUGAAAGGCCAAUCAAACCGGGAGAUAGCUGGUUCUCCCCGAAAGCUAUUUAGGUAGCGCCUCGUGAAUUCAUCUCCGGGGGUAGAGCACUGUUUCGGCAAGGGGGUCAUCCCGACUUACCAACCCGAUGCAAACUGCGAAUACCGGAGAAUGUUAUCACGGGAGACACACGGCGGGUGCUAACGUCCGUCGUGAAGAGGGAAACAACCCAGACCGCCAGCUAAGGUCCCAAAGUCAUGGUUAAGUGGGAAACGAUGUGGGAAGGCCCAGACAGCCAGGAUGUUGGCUUAGAAGCAGCCAUCAUUUAAAGAAAGCGUAAUAGCUCACUGGUCGAGUCGGCCUGCGCGGAAGAUGUAACGGGGCUAAACCAUGCACCGAAGCUGCGGCAGCGACACUAUGUGUUGUUGGGUAGGGGAGCGUUCUGUAAGCCUGCGAAGGUGUGCUGUGAGGCAUGCUGGAGGUAUCAGAAGUGCGAAUGCUGACAUAAGUAACGAUAAAGCGGGUGAAAAGCCCGCUCGCCGGAAGACCAAGGGUUCCUGUCCAACGUUAAUCGGGGCAGGGUGAGUCGACCCCUAAGGCGAGGCCGAAAGGCGUAGUCGAUGGGAAACAGGUUAAUAUUCCUGUACUUGGUGUUACUGCGAAGGGGGGACGGAGAAGGCUAUGUUGGCCGGGCGACGGUUGUCCCGGUUUAAGCGUGUAGGCUGGUUUUCCAGGCAAAUCCGGAAAAUCAAGGCUGAGGCGUGAUGACGAGGCACUACGGUGCUGAAGCAACAAAUGCCCUGCUUCCAGGAAAAGCCUCUAAGCAUCAGGUAACAUCAAAUCGUACCCCAAACCGACACAGGUGGUCAGGUAGAGAAUACCAAGGCGCUUGAGAGAACUCGGGUGAAGGAACUAGGCAAAAUGGUGCCGUAACUUCGGGAGAAGGCACGCUGAUACGUAGGUGAAGUCCCUCGCGGAUGGAGCUGAAAUCAGUCGAAGAUACCAGCUGGCUGCAACUGUUUAUUAAAAACACAGCACUGUGCAAACACGAAAGUGGACGUAUACGGUGUGACGCCUGCCCGGUGCCGGAAGGUUAAUUGAUGGGGUCAGCGCAAGCGAAGCUCUUGAUCGAAGCCCCGGUAAACGGCGGCCGUAACUAUAACGGUCCUAAGGUAGCGAAAUUCCUUGUCGGGUAAGUUCCGACCUGCACGAAUGGCGUAAUGAUGGCCAGGCUGUCUCCACCCGAGACUCAGUGAAAUUGAACUCGCUGUGAAGAUGCAGUGUACCCGCGGCAAGACGGAAAGACCCCGUGAACCUUUACUAUAGCUUGACACUGAACAUUGAGCCUUGAUGUGUAGGAUAGGUGGGAGGCUUGGAAGUGUGGACGCCAGUCUGCAUGGAGCCGACCUUGAAAUACCACCCUUUAAUGUUUGAUGUUCUAACGUUGACCCGUGAUCCGGGUUGCGGACAGUGUCUGGUGGGUAGUUUGACUGGGGCGGUCUCCUCCUAAAGAGUAACGGAGGAGCACGAAGGUUGGCUAAUCCUGGUCGGACAUCAGGAGGUUAGUGCAAUGGCAUAAGCCAGCUUGACUGCGAGCGUGACGGCGCGAGCAGGUGCGAAAGCAGGUCAUAGUGAUCCGGUGGUUCUGAAUGGAAGGGCCAUCGCUCAACGGAUAAAAGGUACUCCGGGGAUAACAGGCUGAUACCGCCCAAGAGUUCAUAUCGACGGCGGUGUUUGGCACCUCGAUGUCGGCUCAUCACAUCCUGGGGCUGAAGUAGGUCCCAAGGGUAUGGCUGUUCGCCAUUUAAAGUGGUACGCGAGCUGGGUUUAGAACGUCGUGAGACAGUUCGGUCCCUAUCUGCCGUGGGCGCUGGAGAACUGAGGGGGGCUGCUCCUAGUACGAGAGGACCGGAGUGGACGCAUCACUGGUGUUCGGGUUGUCAUGCCAAUGGCACUGCCCGGUAGCUAAAUGCGGAAGAGAUAAGUGCUGAAAGCAUCUAAGCACGAAACUUGCCCCGAGAUGAGUUCUCCCUGACUCCUUGAGAGUCCUGAAGGAACGUUGAAGACGACGACGUUGAUAGGCCGGGUGUGUAAGCGCAGCGAUGCGUUGAGCUAACCGGUACUAAUGAACCGUGAGGCUUAACCUU
RNAcentral lists this ribosomal RNA (2903 nucleotides) under Escherichia coli. Its description in RNAcentral is "23S ribosomal RNA". It matches the Rfam family "Bacterial large subunit ribosomal RNA". Lineage: Bacteria; Pseudomonadati; Pseudomonadota; Gammaproteobacteria; Enterobacterales; Enterobacteriaceae. The record is from RNAcentral.